Molecule: unclassified non-coding RNA, 596 nt
Filed under: Hevea brasiliensis (rubber tree)
Lineage: Eukaryota; Viridiplantae; Streptophyta; Magnoliopsida; Malpighiales; Euphorbiaceae
Source: RNAcentral
AACAAAUGUUCUCUCUCUAGCGAAGAACCAGGAAAGAAAGACCGGUAGAGAAAGGAAGCCUCACGAAGGGUAGCUCUGUAACAAGAAAAAAGAAAAUUAACCCAAAAAACAACAGAUAGACAACAGUCGCUGGAUGUUUCUUCUCUUUUCACUUUUGCGUUUUGUAGUGUUGGGGGAUGUGGGUUCAUCACUAAUGCUUCUUUUCUAUUGGUUUUGUAAGACAGAAGAUUAUUGCUGAUGAGCAGAGGGGGAGAAAAAGAAAAGGCUUAAAACUUGAUCUUAUCUGAUCUCCAUUUUGGGUUUUGAUUGUUUUGUUGGAGGAGAAAAUGGUUGGGUAUAUUAAGAAGGAGAUGAUUGAAGAUUUAGCCAUUGUAGGAGGUUUGAUAGGGGUGCAAUUUGUGUAUGCAGGAAACUCUGUUUUCUUGAGCUAUCUAAUGUCUCUGGGCUUUACCCCUUCUACCAUUGUUAUCUUUUCUACUUUUGCCACCUUCCUCAUCACCUCUCCUCUUGCUGUUCAUUUUGAAAGGAGGAAAUGGCCCAAAGAACUCAGUAUCAAGUUGAUGAUCCAGCUCGUUUUGAUCUCUUUUGCAGGGGUA